AAGAGAGUUAGCGAUGAUUCACAAGAACCUUGUAGUUCAACAUCAUUGUCGGGUUCCGGGGACCUUGCCCGUGUCUGGGGAAUUCUUGGCUCCACCCCUGUUUGAAAGACUUCGAUUUACGUAAAACGUCUUUGACUAUAGAAGUCCAUAGUAACCAAUGAUGUUAUUAUGAACAGUCUUUGUUCCUUACGUCGAUAGGUUGAGUCUUUUGAAACUCAAUUAUUAUACUUAUGCUACGUAUGUGUUGCAACAUUUUACUAACUUACUUUAUACAGACUAUUUCUUUGUGUGAAUAACACUAAUACCUGUCCCAAGUCUGGAUAUAGCAUUAAUAACUCAUAUCGUGUUGGGAGAAAACAUUUAUUAUUAGUUUUAUCCCACAAUACAAUCGAUGUCCUAGAAUUGAUGCAAGUUUAAAGGAUGUGAUACUUAAAUCAUCGUGAUAUUGACGUCUAUUGAAAUUAAAACGAAAUCACAUGUCAGUAAAUUAUUUUUUAUGGUCUAAAAUAUACAUUACAUUUGCAAUUUACAAUUUUAGUCUUUUAUUAACAAUAAGAUCUUAUGGUUGAUGAAUACCAGACACCCUUAUAGACUCUCCAAUAUUUUAAUUACAAAAAAAGAAAUUCGAGAUAAUUCGAUUCAUGUGAAGUUUAGAAAAUGACACGUAUUAUAUGAGGACAAUAGUGACACAAACAAACGAACAUCGCUCCUAUAUCAUUCAAAUAUGAGAUUCCGAAAAAAGAAUUCUUAUUUCAAGAAUUUUUUAUGCCAAUUAGAAUGUAAAUAUGAUAAUAGAUUGUGUGAUCAAGAUAGUGCAACUCACGCAAUCUCUGCACGUUUCCUUACGCACACGUUAAAUAGGAAAAAAAUCACAUUAAUCAUGAUGAUAUUAGCUGGAGAAAAGUGCCGAAAUUAUAUGACGUUGAACUCUAUGUUCCCUACGUACGUAUUCGUUGAUUAUAACCACUUGUAGCUAAGUCAGACCGUCUCACGAUUUCCCCUUCAUAUAGUUCUUGCUCUAGUUUUAUCGUCUCGCGAAUAACUAUAAGAAUUUUCUAUACUCAUAGCAGUAGAACUGUUGGUGCGUGCUAAUAUUAGCAAUAUAUAUAACAACGACUUAUUAUUAUAUCACUUGGAUUUUACCUCAUAUGACUGACUUCAGAAUUCGCGAUGAAUUUUAAUGUUCACAACGAGCAAUCAUCUCUUCGGGCCUGUUAUUUAAGUCUUUUUCUUUCCUGUUUGGAGAUUGCUCGAAAGACAUUGUUUACCGAUGAAAAACCAUACAUGCGUUGUUUAGAAAGAUUGCAGCAGUAUCCACAGAACUUCCGUUCCUCUUUGUGUAAGCAAUAUACUCAGUGUAUGUCUUACCCGUGACGUCAAUGGUUUAAGAUGUUCGUCGACUGUAAAAUAUCUUGUCAUUCAUAAUUUUCUUCAUACCGAUUGAUGAAACGGGAGAAAUUGCUUUGUGUGAGUCGUUGUAUUUAAAAGGUUUCUUUGUCGUACUUUGUUGCUAUGUGUUAUGUAUAGUUACGUUCAAACUGUUUAUUUUAGAGUGAUGGUGCUGUUCUUCCUUUCCCUGCAGUUACAUCUCAUUUGAUGUCGUCUUUACAGUUUACAAUCCUCUUCCUCUUGUUGCCUUCCUUAACUGAAUGGCGCGUAUUUGACUAUUGCCUUACCAUUAUACUUCCUCGUGACUUAACGCAUCUGGUUUAUGUUCAUUUAAUAGAAAAUAUAAAUAUGCAAUUCA
Xenia sp. Carnegie-2017 is the source of this 1747-nucleotide long non-coding RNA. RefSeq lists it as uncharacterized. NCBI's taxonomy places the organism in Eukaryota, Metazoa, Cnidaria, Anthozoa, Malacalcyonacea, Xeniidae. The record is from RefSeq and is a predicted model, not a curated record. The transcript is spliced from 2 exons.